GAUGAACGCUGGCGGCGUGCCUAAUACAUGCAAGUCGAACGCAUCCCGUUAAAUGAAGUGCUUGCACGGAUUUUAACAUUGGAUGAGUGGCGAACUGGUGAGUAACACGUGGGUAACCUGCCCAGAAGCAGGGGAUAACACUUGGAAACAGGUGCUAAUACCGUAUAACAACAAAAACCGCAUGGUUUUUGUUUGAAAGGUGGUUUCGGCUAUCACUUCUGGAUGGACCCGCGGCGUAUUAGCUAGUUGGUAGAGUAAUGGUUCACCAAGGCAAUGAUACGUAGCCGACCUGAGAGGGUAAUCGGCCACAUUGGGACUGAGACACGGCCCAAACUCCUACGGGAGGCAGCAGUAGGGAAUCUUCCACAAUGGACGAAAGUCUGAUGGAGCAACGCCGCGUGAGUGAAGAAGGUUUUCGGAUCGUAAAACUCUGUUGUUGAAGAAGAAUACGUUUGAGAGUAACUGUUCAGACGUUGACGGUAUUCGACCAGAAAGCCACGGCUAACUACGUGCCAGCCGCCGCCGUAA
RNAcentral lists this ribosomal RNA (528 nucleotides) under uncultured bacterium. RNAcentral describes it as "partial 16S ribosomal RNA". It matches the Rfam family "Bacterial small subunit ribosomal RNA", at positions 28 to 523 of the family's 1533-position model. The record is from RNAcentral.